RNAcentral lists this non-coding RNA (87 nucleotides) under Janthinobacterium sp. KBS0711. RNAcentral describes it as "Glycine riboswitch aptamer". It matches the Rfam family "Glycine riboswitch aptamer". From Rfam's summary of the family: This family represents the bacterial glycine riboswitch. The record is from Rfam by way of RNAcentral. Lineage: Bacteria; Pseudomonadati; Pseudomonadota; Betaproteobacteria; Burkholderiales; Oxalobacteraceae. RNAcentral also lists the same sequence under 1 other name.
CCCACUUGAUCGGGAGAGGGCAACCCAGCGUUGCCGCCGAAGGGGCACUACCCAAAAACUCUCAGGCAAAAGGACCGAUCAGGCGGA